Molecule: ribosomal RNA, 498 nt
Filed under: Staphylococcus epidermidis
Lineage: Bacteria; Bacillati; Bacillota; Bacilli; Caryophanales; Staphylococcaceae
Description: bacterial SSU rRNA
Rfam family: Bacterial small subunit ribosomal RNA
Source: RNAcentral
GAGCUAACGCGUUAAAUCGACCGCCUGGGGAGUACGGCCGCAAGGUUAAAACUCAAAUGAAUUGACGGGGGCCCGCACAAGCGGUGGAGCAUGUGGUUUAAUUCGAUGCAACGCGAAGAACCUUACCUACUCUUGACAUCCAGAGAACUUUCCAGAGAUGGAUUGGUGCCUUCGGGAACUCUGAGACAGGUGCUGCAUGGCUGUCGUCAGCUCGUGUUGUGAAAUGUUGGGUUAAGUCCCGCAACGAGCGCAACCCUUAUCCUUUGUUGCCAGCGGUUCGGCCGGGAACUCAAAGGAGACUGCCAGUGAUAAACUGGAGGAAGGUGGGGAUGACGUCAAGUCAUCAUGGCCCUUACGAGUAGGGCUACACACGUGCUACAAUGGCGCAUACAAAGAGAAGCGACCUCGCGAGAGCAAGCGGACCUCAUAAAGUGCGUCGUAGUCCGGAUUGGAGUCUGCAACUCGACUCCAUGAAGUCGGAAUCGCUAGUAAUCGUGG